CCUGCCGUUCUGCCCUCCUCGCGACGCCCUGGCGGUGCGCUGUGGCCGGGCCGGCCAUCCUCGACCGCCGUCCUCAGCCGUCGCCGUGGCCGGUGCUCGAGGACACCACAAUGCCGCCGUGCGGCCGCCGCCAAGGGCCGCAUGAAUGUCCGCGGCCUACGGCGACGAAGCUUGCAGUUGCCUGAGGUGCUCCCCUUCACGCCUCUUAGUCAUCUUCCACACGCUCAGACCGACAACCAAGCUCAAUUUGGGUAGAGCAUCACCUGAUUUGGACUUUGGAGCCACUUUUGAUCGAUUGAAUAAGCAAGUUGUUGGAUUAGAAGGUGCGGCAAGCUCCACUCAUGCAGCGGCGGCGCACGGCGAGGGUCCCUGCAGCCUCAAUCGCAGCAGCGGCGGUGAGAACGGCUUGCGGGCGAAGCAGGGGAUGGGAUCUGGUGGCUGCUGGAUGUAGGAGAUGAUGGGUGGGUCCCACGACCAGAGAGAUAGAGCAGGAGCUCGGCGUGGGCCCGUUUGGUGUUUUCUAGAAUUCUAGAAAAUUAACACUGAUCUCUAGUUACGGUGUUAAAUUAAAUCAGUUUACAAAAUCAA
Panicum virgatum (switchgrass) is the source of this 588-nucleotide long non-coding RNA. RefSeq lists it as uncharacterized. The transcript is spliced from 2 exons. The record is from RefSeq and is a predicted model, not a curated record. Lineage: Eukaryota; Viridiplantae; Streptophyta; Magnoliopsida; Poales; Poaceae.